Long non-coding RNA from Xiphias gladius (swordfish), 890 nucleotides. RefSeq lists it as uncharacterized. NCBI's taxonomy places the organism in Eukaryota, Metazoa, Chordata, Actinopteri, Istiophoriformes, Xiphiidae. The record is from RefSeq and is a predicted model, not a curated record. The transcript has 3 exons.
CGUCAAGCUGCUGAGCCAUCUUCACUGCUGCUGCAAUGGCUGCGCCAGAGCUGCCGCCUGCAGCAGAACAGGCAAUUAGAGGGCAUGGUGAUAAUGCAGCGGUAGCCUUUCACUGCAGCUGUGAGGGCGAGGCCAAUGCCUGCAGACAGGCAGAGGAGGAGGAUUUAUGCAGCUGGCCAGGUUCUAUCAUCAUGCAGAUGAGGUCGACGCACCUGUGUUUCCGGAGGUGGGCUCGAUGAUCGUGUCUCCCGGUUUGAGGAUCCCAGCUAUCUCAGCAUCCUCCACCAUGCGCAGGGCGAUCCUGUCUUUCACGCUGCCUCCUGCGUUGAAGAACUCACACUUGGCCACUGAAAACAGGGACACAUAAGAAAAUACUGUCACUGAGUGUGUUUAAAAUUGAUUUAGAGCCUGAAACCUGAUUAUGUGAUAUAUGCAAAAUGUGUUCUUUAUACUGAAACCACUGUGGAAACACCCAGGAUGAAACUCCAAGUUAACACUGUGAAAAGACUGCUUCCACCCUUUUUGAUUAGUUAAUGUUUCCCAACAUUAUCAGUUUUUUGAUGCGUUAGAUCAUCAGUUUCAGAUCAAUGUAUCAGUGUCUGUUAAUUUAUCAGUCAUGUUAUAAAAUAACAGAGCACAAUUUUGCUUCAUUUAUAUAUUUUUUUGUUCCUGUGGAAGUUUGUGAUUUCUUGGCUCGGUUUGCCUUUCCAUAGAUAAAAUGUGACGGUUCGUAGUAACAGAGGAAUCUUAUAUUAAAUAUUUUUUUUUGUUAUUCUAUAUUUUUUGAAAACUUUGUAUCGGUCUAGCUCACCCUAUGGUAACCUGAGCAGACGGUAGUUUACAGUUAGGUGAGGCUGAGAAGGUAAAGGGUGAGUCAUUGGUCCAUAGAC